UACGGAGGAUGCAAGCGUUAUCCGGAAUGAUUGGGCGUAAAGCGUCCGCAGGUGGCUGUGUAAGUCUGCUGUUAAAUAGUGAGGCUCAACCUCAUAAAGGCAGUGGAAACUACACGGCUAGAGUGCGUUCGGGGCAGAGGGAAUUCCUGGUGUAGCGGUGAAAUGCGUAGAGAUCAGGAAGAACACCGGUGGCGAAAGCGCUCUGCUAGGCCGCAACUGACACUGAGGGACGAAAGCUGGGGGAGCGAAUGGG
Molecule: ribosomal RNA, 253 nt
Filed under: uncultured bacterium
Lineage: Bacteria
Description: partial 16S ribosomal RNA
Rfam family: Bacterial small subunit ribosomal RNA
Source: RNAcentral